GAUUGUUUAGUUUAAAAAAAACAAAUGUUUUGAAAACAUUAAUUAAGAUAUAUAAUUCUUAAUAAUCG
Molecule: transfer RNA, 68 nt
Filed under: Cardisoma armatum
Lineage: Eukaryota; Metazoa; Arthropoda; Malacostraca; Decapoda; Gecarcinidae
Description: tRNA-Ser
Source: RNAcentral